UACGGGGGGGGCCAGCGUUGUUCGGAAUUACUGGGCGUAAAGGGUGCGUAGGCGGUGCUCUAAGUCGGAUGUGAAAACUCUGGGCUCAACCCAGAGCCUGCAUCCGAAACUGGAGUGCUAGAGUUCUGGAGGGGGUAGCGGAAUUCCUAGUGUAGCGGUGAAAUGCGUAGAUAUCAGGAGGAACACCGGUGGCGAAGGCGGUUCUCUGGGCCUUACCUGACACUGAGGAGCGAAAGCGUGGGGAGCGAACAGG
RNAcentral lists this ribosomal RNA (253 nucleotides) under uncultured bacterium. RNAcentral describes it as "partial 16S ribosomal RNA". It matches the Rfam family "Bacterial small subunit ribosomal RNA", at positions 524 to 776 of the family's 1533-position model. The record is from RNAcentral.